GAGCGAUUUGAUUUAUCAAAGAGCGGCGAACGGCUGAGUAACGCGUGGGAACUUACCUUAAGCUCGGGGAUAACUAUCCGAAAGGAUAGCUAAUACCCGAUAGUCCCUUCGGGGUAAAGAUUUAUCGGCUUAAGAGAGGCCCGCGUCUGAUUAGUUUGUUGGUGGGGUAAAGGCCUACCAAGACUACGAUCGGUAGCUGGUCUGAGAGGAUGACCAGCCAGACUGGGACUGAGACACGGCCCAGACUCC
Molecule: ribosomal RNA, 249 nt
Filed under: uncultured bacterium
Lineage: Bacteria
Description: partial 16S ribosomal RNA
Rfam family: Bacterial small subunit ribosomal RNA
Source: RNAcentral